UGAAAGCAAGACAAAGAUAUGGGACGAGUAGCAUUGGAGGGCAAGUCUGGUGCCAGCAGCCGCGGUAAUUCCAGCUCCAAGAGUGUAUAUUAAAGCUGUUGCGAUUAAAACGCUCGUAGUUUAUGUGAUGGUUUUGUUUGUAGUGUUGUGUGUAAGACCAUGUUUUUAGGCAUGGUUUGGCAGAAAGGAUGACAAGACAGGACAGGUGGUGCAGUUUGGAGAUUGUGCUUGGAUGGACGAUAAGGAAGAACUGGAUGGAAUACUUUGAACAAAAUAGGACGAUAGAGGUAGAUAGAAGAGUAUGAUGGAUAUAUUAGCAUAGGAUAAUAGAGGGGUUUGAUGGCGUGUCAAAUAGGAGCACAUGGCAAGGGACAAGAAAUCUGUGGUGGUUGUGUUUGUGGAAAUGGUUUUGAUGGUGUGUAAAAUGGUGGCAGAUGGAACACGUGUUCCAUCUGCCACGAUGGACACUGUAGGAAAGAGUGAGUGGUGACACACACGGACAGACAAAGACAGCGAGGACAGAGAAAUAGACCUGUUGGGUGACUGAUGGGUUGACCUUGGGAUGUGUGAGGAAGACGGAGAGACGUUGAGCCAUGGGACAGACAAAGAAUAGGAACAAAUGGGGUGGUGGAUAUUUUCCUGAGAGAGGUGAAAUUCAAUGACCAGGAAAAGAUGGACGAGAUCCAAGCAAUCUCCAAAGAUGUUUUCAUAGAUCAAGAACGAAAGUUGGGGGAUCGAAGACGAUCAGAUACCGUCGUAGUCUCAACCAUAAACGAUGCCGACUUGGGAUUGGAUGCAGAAUCCCAUUUUCUGUUUCUUUGCUUUUUUCGAAAGGCAAAGGACAUGGAAUGGAAAUCGAAAAGGAGCACAUGUGUGUUGUGGAAACGCAAUGGACGUGUGUGGACAGAAUAGACUCUUCCAGACUUACGAGAGAAAUCGAGAAGUUGAUGGGCUUCGGGGGGAGUAUGGUCGCAAGGCAGAAACUUAAAGGAAUUGACGGGAGGGCACACCAGGAGUGGAGCGUGCGGCUUAAUUUGACUCAACACGGGGAAACUUACCAGGGCCAGACAGCAUGGGGAUUGACAGAUUGAGAGCUCAUUCAUGAUAUGGUAGGUGGUGGUGCAUGGUCGUUCUUAGUUGGUGGUGUGAAUUGUCUGGUUAAUUCCGAUAACGAACGAGACCUUGGCUUGCUAUGUAGAUUUGUGUGAUGGCAGCUUUGUUUUUUCUUUUUCUGGUAUUUCUUUGUGGUUGUUUUCGGACAGACACAGAGGACAGAAAAGGGGGCGAGGCAGGAUGACAUGGGAUUUCGUAGAAGGACAUUUGAUAGGAAAGGAAUUGAAGGAAGGGAGAGGCAAUAACAGGUCUGUGAUGCCCUUGGAUGCUCUGGGCCGCACGCGCGCUACAAUGCUAUAUUCUGAGUGUGAGUGGUUUUGUUGUUUGUGACUGAUGUGUGUAAAAAGCGUGUUGGUUGUGGAUGACAAAGCAAGGAACCGACAUUGAGAAAUGGAGGGAAGCAAAGGAAAGGAUAGCAAGGUGGGGAUAGAUGAUUGGAAUUGUUUGUCUUGAACAAGGAAUUCCUAGUAAGCGCAAGUGAGUAGCUUGUGCUGAUUACGUCCCUGCCCUUUGUACACACCGCCCGUCGCUCCUACCGAUUGGGUAAUGCGGUGAAAAUACUGGAUGUUUUGUUGUCUCUUUUUUGAGGGGCAGGAGAAUAGAAAGUAAUUGAACCUUAAUAUCUA
RNAcentral lists this ribosomal RNA (1739 nucleotides) under Endolimax nana. Its description in RNAcentral is "partial small subunit ribosomal RNA". It matches the Rfam family "Eukaryotic small subunit ribosomal RNA", at positions 512 to 1775 of the family's 1831-position model. The record is from RNAcentral. Lineage: Eukaryota; Evosea; Mastigamoebida; Endamoebidae.